Molecule: ribosomal RNA, 429 nt
Filed under: Pseudomonadota bacterium
Lineage: Bacteria; Pseudomonadati; Pseudomonadota
Description: Proteobacteria bacterium partial 16S ribosomal RNA
Rfam family: Bacterial small subunit ribosomal RNA
Source: RNAcentral
UGGGGAAUAUUGGACAAUGGGCGAAAGCCUGAUCCAGCCAUGCCGCGUGUGUGAAGAAGGUCUUCGGAUUGUAAAGCACUUUAAGUUGGGAGGAAGGGCAGUAAGCGAAUACCUUGCUGUUUUGACGUUACCGACAGAAUAAGCACCGGCUAACUCUGUGCCAGGAGCCGCGGUAAUACAGAGGGUGCAAGCGUUAAUCGGAAUUACUGGGCGUAAAGCGCGCGUAGGUGGUUCGUUAAGUUGAAUGUGAAAGCCCCGGGCUCAACCUGGGAACUGCGUCCAAAACUGGCGAGCUAGAGUAGGGCAGAGGGUGGUGGAAUUUCCUGUGUAGCGGUGAAAUGCGUAGAUAUAGGAAGGAACACCAGUGGCGAAGGCGACCACCUGGGCUCAUACUGACACUGAGGUGCGAAAGCGUGGGGAGCAAACAGG